UGGCGGACGGGUGAGUAACGCGUGGAAAACCUGCCGUAUACUGGGGGAUAACACUUAGAAAUAGGUGCUAAUACCGCAUAAGCGCACAGCUUCGCAUGAAGCGGUGUGAAAAACUCUGGUGGUAUACGAUGGUUCCGCGUCUGAUUAGCUAGUUGGUGGGGUAAUGGCCUACCAAGGCAACGAUCAGUAGCCGGCCUGAGAGGGUGAACGGCUACAUUGGGACUGAGACACGGCCCAAACUCCUACGGGAGGCAGCAG
This 258-nucleotide ribosomal RNA is filed under the name uncultured bacterium. Its description in RNAcentral is "partial 16S ribosomal RNA". It matches the Rfam family "Bacterial small subunit ribosomal RNA", at positions 96 to 354 of the family's 1533-position model. The record is from RNAcentral.